Cyprinus carpio (common carp) is the source of this 520-nucleotide long non-coding RNA. RefSeq lists it as uncharacterized. Lineage: Eukaryota; Metazoa; Chordata; Actinopteri; Cypriniformes; Cyprinidae. The transcript has 3 exons. The record is from RefSeq and is a predicted model, not a curated record.
AGCGGCAGUGGUAGCUGCAGGAGGCAGGAGAGCAACAGAAAGAGAGAGAGAGUGGUAAAGAGAGACAGGAGGAGAGCUCAGAGUAAUCGUAGGAGGACAGAGAAGGGAACUUGUGUCAGCGUGGGUGCUGAAGCAGGAGAAUGACAUGCUGGAUAAAGGGGCAGCGAUGAUGUCCAGUACCACAUUCAAAAUGUCCAGGUCACAGUGAAAGCCUCCUGUCAUAACAACACUAGUGCCAUCAAGAUCCAUCAGAAGCAGAUAGCAUGCAGAACCUCCGGCAUGCCGCUUCUGAGGCUUUCCAGCGUCUCGGGUUAAAACAAAGACAUCUGGGCUACGAGGAGUUGAAUGGAUGCAUUUGUUCCCCUCAGCGAAUACAACAUGGCUGUUUGUGUUUAGCUCUCAUGGAUGGGAAGAUGGAGUCAUAAGCGCGAGGCCUGCAGACACACACACACACACACACACACACACACACCACUUUCUCAUGCAAGUCAUAUGAGUUAUCCAGCUUAAUCAGAGAAAG